Molecule: long non-coding RNA, 3206 nt
Organism: Orcinus orca (killer whale)
Lineage: Eukaryota; Metazoa; Chordata; Mammalia; Artiodactyla; Delphinidae
Exons: 2
Source: RefSeq, a predicted model, not a curated record
GUCUCCGCCACGCUGCCGGCGACAGGGACGCUGAGCACCCGCCACCGCGGCCCGGCCUUCCGGCGGCCCCUUUCUCCGCGCGGCGCACCGGGGCCUGGCCGGGCGGCAAGGUCGGAAUGCGCCGGCACCGACCUUUAGAGGGUCAGGCGGGGACCUGGGGAACCCGACCGGGAGCCUCCCUUACAGGGCCCCAGCCUCAACGAUGCCAUAUUUUGCAAAAGAGAAAAGAGUACGGAGCCCUCCCCCCUCACUUAGCCGUCCUCCUUCUAAGUUCUCACCCUCUGGGAGACCCCUCCUCCUUAGUGAGGCCCCUCCCCUCGCCGAGGCCCCUCCCGACACUGAUUCUUUGUCCCUCAGUCUCAUUCAAUGCGCCCCAGUCCCCCCCACUGAGCCCCCUCUUCCCUCGUUGAGCCCCUUUCACUGAUCCCUGCAGCCUUAACCCCAGCGUCCUAUUCCAGAGGCCCCAUCCCCUCCCCCGCUCCCCUUUUCCCUCACUGAGCCCCGCUUUCUCAGAGAGCCCCUUCCCCCUUUCUUAGCUGCCCCCUCUCUGAUAUCUGUCCGUCCUUAAUCCCACGGUCCCUGAGCCCCCUCCCCUGCCGGAGUGCCUCCUUCCAGCCCCUGCUGCAUCUCUGAAAUAUUCAUAUCCUCUCCUCGCCCUCCUCUCUGCAGCCUCCGGAGGCCUGGCGGCUCUGCUCCCGCUGCCAGGCUGUCAUCAAUCACUGCCCAGUGGCGGUCGGCACAGGCCUCUGCACCCUGCCCGCCCCGAUGCUCCCCAUCCGUCUUGCCGAGCUCUCCGCUUCACUCAGCGGGGACCGCGUCAUCUUGUCCCAGCUACGGGCUUAGGAGCCCCCAGCCAUCUUCUGCCACAGGUGUUUGCUCCCUGCGGGCACUUGGAAGAGUGGAGAUUUUCCCUAAAGGCCUCUGGGCUUAAGGCAAGAGCAGGAACUUUGAAGCUGCAGAUGUGCCCUCAUUACGUACUGUCCCUGAGUCGCUGUGUGACCCAGUGCCUGUCAUGCCCCCUCUCUGAGCCUCUUCUCCAAGAUGAGAACGCUAAUUACGUUACAGCGGUGUUGGAACAGUUCACUGAGGUCCCAGAUGCCGUGUAACUUUGUUUUUUACUGAACACGCCCGGGAAUAACCCUCCAAAGGCCCAGCUCCAGGGUGAUGCGCCCCUUCCAUCUUCCAUUUUUCAUUCUGUGCUGGCUUAGCCAGUGCCCCUCCCAGAUGGAGGCUCAGCCCUGUUUCACCGGGCUCGUCUUUUUCCUGCCCAGAGUGAGGGAGGCCAGGGCUUGGAUGGCAGAGCAUUAAGGACGUGACAUAAGCUUUGGAUUCACACAGACAGGUCUGAAUUCAGGCGUGACCACGCUCACCGAGCCUGCAGCUCCUUAUCUAUACAACGAGGAAAAGAAUAUCCCAGCUUUGAGGAGAGGAUUAAGUCAGAUUCUGUGAAGCUCCUGACAUGAGGCCUGGUCAUGCACACACGGUCACCAUUGCUAGAUGGAGGACCUCUGUCACACACUCACACACCAACACUUCCUCUUCCAGGGAGAAAAGUGGUUUUGACACGUGAAAGAGAAACAGAGCAAGGAAGGCAGAUCACAGCUACAAGGUGAAAGGAUUUUCAGGGACAAAUCUGCAGCAGGGCACCCACUAAGCAGCUCUUGGAAGACUGAGUUUUGGAUUUGAAAAAAAAAGGAUGUAACCCAUACCUGACAGGGUUGGCUGGCCUUGAGGCUCGUGUCAAGAAUGCCAUUUGGAUCCCAAACGCUAUCCUGGCCCUGGCAGCCUAGAAGUCACACAGGUGUGAUGGGAGGUGCUUCUGGGGUGGUGGAGGCUCAUGUCAUUCCCCCGACCCUGCAGAGCCCGCACAUCCCUUCAUUCAAACCUCUCUGCUCUUCCCCGUGCUCCUCUUCCUGAAGCCAGUGGCCUCCUACUUCCCAUCCCUGAAAUCUCCAACUCCUGGGCCUGUCCCAGGGCCCAUUGCCCCCACACAGCCCUCAGCCCUACAAACGCCUGACACAUAAAACACAGUCUUUAGCAAAACUGAAGGGCGCCACAAACAUCGUGUGGGUGAGCCAGCGGGAGGAGGGAGCUUCCGUUUAUCCUAACACAAAAAUGACGAAGGUUACUUACAAACGAAAACAGCUCAGUUUGGGUCUUGCCUUCUGCAGGAAUCCUUCCUCGCCUCCUAAUACCCAAGGUGGGUUAGCCACUGAAUGCAGGCCCUCGCUGAGCCCUCCUCGUUCUGCUGGCUGCACCCCUAGAGACAUCUUUCCUUUCUACCUCUGUCCCAGGGACAGAGCUCCCUGCCGUCUGCCCCAUCCUCCCUCCCUGGGACCUUAUCAUUUGACUUCUCUCACUUUCCAGUCCUUUCUGGGAGGUUGACCUUGUCUGCUGGGAGCACCGGAAGACAGGCGUGGGGAGAUCCAGGCUCAGGGAGAUGCACAAGGUUUCAGAACCUUCUGGAGCCUGAUGGCCAAUUGACAGAUGAAUGAAUCCAGACAGAAGAGGAGGAGGGUUCCAGGCAAAGGGGCUGCCCUCUCCGUUCACUCACUCAGCCUGUGUGCCAGGCCUGCCCGGGGCCGGGAGGCAGGGGCAGGGGUGGCAGGAACAAGGGCCUCUCCUGUAGCUCCUCAUGGCACAGGGCAAAAAUAUGACAGGUGCAUAUGAUACUAAUCUAAGGCAGGUGCCGCGUGCUGUUCUGAACACUUUACAUAUAUUUAUCUCAUUCAGUCAUUUAAUACUCAACAAGCCUCUGAUGUGGGUAUCAUCACUGAUAUCCUCAUAGCAAAAAUAGGAGGCAUGGAGAGGUCACACUAUGUAUAAAAUUAGACACAUGGAAAAAAAAAAACACCGGCAUUUGCUCAUUGUUUUAGGAAGUAGCAUAUGAAUAUUGUUUUCCAGAAACCCUCUCUCCCAAACAUUUUGUUAUAUUACAUAACUAUGAAAACAAUUAUUCUUUUUUUUAAAGUAUCCGGAGUAAACUUUAAUGGUUCUGUGCUCUUGCAAACCAAGAUGCAAUAUAAUCUUAUGUCCAUAUAUGGGAGGUGCAUUAUAUAGUGAUGAAAACAAUUAUUCUUAAAGGUUGUCUAUUAAAGUGAAACAAAGAACCGAUAACAGACAUAGAAGUAAAGAAAACAUUGUAUAUAUCCCAAAGAGGAGAAGAUUUUACUUUUCUCCCAGGAAUAAAGUGGUUUUUAGAGGCA